RNAcentral lists this ribosomal RNA (243 nucleotides) under uncultured bacterium. Its description in RNAcentral is "partial 16S ribosomal RNA". It matches the Rfam family "Bacterial small subunit ribosomal RNA", at positions 1258 to 1500 of the family's 1533-position model. The record is from RNAcentral.
UGAUGUGGAGCUAAACUGAAAAAAGUAAGUCUCAGUUCGGAUUGAAGGCUGAAAUUCGCCUUCAUGAAGCCGGAAUUGCUAGUAAUGGCAGGUCAGCAUACUGCCGUGAAUACGUUCCCGGGCCUUGUACACACCGCCCGUCACACCAUGAGAGUUGGGAAUACCCGAAGCCUGUGAGCUAACUAUACGAGGCAGCAGUCGAAGGUAGAAUCAAUGAUUGGGGUGAAGUCGUAACAAGGUAGC